Long non-coding RNA from Strigops habroptila (Kakapo), 139 nucleotides. RefSeq lists it as uncharacterized. NCBI's taxonomy places the organism in Eukaryota, Metazoa, Chordata, Aves, Psittaciformes, Psittacidae. The transcript is spliced from 3 exons. The record is from RefSeq and is a predicted model, not a curated record.
GUUUAUAUAGUGGGCAUGACCUGCUGGUGCAUGGAAUACCCCUUUGGCUAGUUUAGGUCAGGUGUCCUGUUUUUGCUUCCUCCUGGUUUCUUGUGUCCAUCCUCACUGGAAGAGUAUGUGAGACUGAAAAGUCCUUGAU